Lutra lutra (Eurasian river otter) is the source of this 187-nucleotide small nuclear RNA. RefSeq annotates it as U2 spliceosomal RNA. The record is from RefSeq and is a predicted model, not a curated record. The transcript has a single exon. Lineage: Eukaryota; Metazoa; Chordata; Mammalia; Carnivora; Mustelidae.
GUUGCUACUCGGCCUUUUGGCUAAGAUCAAGUGUAGUAUCUGUUCUUAUCAGUUUAAUAUCUGAUACGUCCUCUACCCCGCCUGUAACUUUUUAAAAAAACAUUUUUGGGAGAUUGUAUGCUGCCCGGGAGACACUUAAUCAUUUUGUAACUUAAAUUGUUAAUUUAUAUAAGCUAUAAUAAGUCUU